CGCUAACGCGGAGCUAAUACCGCAUAUGUUCGCUCAUUCGGUUGGGCGAGUAAAGCAGCGAUGCGCUUAGGGAUGGGCCUGCGGCGGAUUAGGUAGUUGGUGGGGUAACGGCCUACCAAGCCGAUGAUCCGUAGGGGGCGUGAGAGCGUGGCCCCCCACACUGGCACUGAGACACGGGCCAGACUCCUACGGGAGGCAGCAGUGAGGAAUAUUGCACAAUGGGCGCAAGCCUGAUGCAGCAACGCCGCGUGAGGGACGAAGGCCUUCGGGUUGUAAACCUCUUUUCUGAGGGACGAGGAAGGACGGUACCUCAGGAAUAAGUCUCGGCUAACUACGUGCCAGCAGCCGCGGUAAAACGUAGGAGGCGAGCGUUAUCCGGAUUUACUGGGCGUAAAGCGCGCGCAGGUGGCUUCGUGAGUCGGACAUGAAAGCUCCUGGCUUAACUGGGAGAGGCUGUUCGAUACUGCGGGGCUUGAGGUUGGGAGAGGGACGCGGAAUUCCCGGUGUAGUGGUGGAAUGCGUAGAUAUCGGGAGGAACACCAGUGGCGCAAGCGGCGUCCUGGCCCACACCUGACGCUGAGGUGCGAAAGCGUGGGUAGCAAACAGGAUUAGAUACCCUGGUAGUCCACGCUGUAAACGAUGUCAACUGGGUGUCGGUAGUUUUACACUAUCGGUGCCGAAGCUAACGCG
Molecule: ribosomal RNA, 690 nt
Filed under: uncultured bacterium
Lineage: Bacteria
Description: bacterial SSU rRNA
Rfam family: Bacterial small subunit ribosomal RNA
Source: RNAcentral